This 553-nucleotide ribosomal RNA is filed under the name uncultured bacterium. Its description in RNAcentral is "partial 16S ribosomal RNA". It matches the Rfam family "Bacterial small subunit ribosomal RNA", at positions 356 to 900 of the family's 1533-position model. The record is from RNAcentral.
AGGGAAUCUUCCACAAUGGACGCAAGUCUGAUGGAGCAACGCCGCGUGAGUGAAGAAGGUUUUCGGACCGUAAAGCUCUGUUGUUGGUGAAGAAGGAUAGAGGUAGUAACUGGCCUUUAUUUGACGGUAAUCAACCAGAAAGUCACGGCUAACUACGUGCCAGCAGCCGCGGUAAUACGUAGGUGGCAAGCGUUGUCCGGAUUUAUUGGGCGUAAAGCGAGCGCAGGCGGAAGAAUAAGUCUGAUGUGAAAGCCCUCGGCUUAACCGAGGAAUUGCAUCGGAAACUGUUUUCUUGAGUGCAGAAGAGGAGAGUAGAACUCCAUGUGUAGCGGUGGAAUGCGUAGAUAUAUGGAGGAAUACCAGUGGCGAAGGCGGCUCUCUGGUCUGCAACUGACGCUGAGGCUCGAAAGCAUGGGUAGCGAACAGGAUUAGAUACCCUGGUAGUCCAUGCCGUAAACGAUGAGUGCUAAGUGUUGGGAGGCUUCCGCCUCUCAGUGCUGCAGCUAACGCAUUAAGCACUCCGCCUGGGGGAGUACGACCGCAAGGUUGAAAC